GCCCGGGUGGCUCAAUGGUAGAGCGUUGGACUUCUAAUCCAAAGGCUGCGGGUUCGAGUCCCGCCUUGGGUG
This 72-nucleotide transfer RNA is filed under the name Gaeumannomyces tritici R3-111a-1. RNAcentral describes it as "tRNA-Arg (TCT) (tRNA-Arg-TCT-1-1)". It matches the Rfam family "tRNA". From Rfam's summary of the family: Transfer RNA (tRNA) molecules are approximately 80 nucleotides in length. Their secondary structure includes four short double-helical elements and three loops (D, anti-codon, and T loops). RNAcentral also lists the same sequence under 1 other name. The record is from RNAcentral. Lineage: Eukaryota; Fungi; Ascomycota; Sordariomycetes; Magnaporthales; Magnaporthaceae.